GUAAGUGCAAAGUCCCAACUAGGAAGGGAGGGAGCUUAUCCAGGAAGGGGCUCAGGGCCGAGACUGAGCUCUUAACCUCUGCACUAGGCUGCCUCCCCGUGCAGGGAGAUCAUCCCAAGCACUACCCUCUCUCCAUCCAGAGGAUGGCUUAUGGAGAAAACAUUUUUUAUUUAGAGAAAUAACUAGCAAAAGGGAUUAGAUUUAUUAUUAGCACAGCAUAAAGAAUGAAGACUUCUCAGAGAUCACUGCUGUCUUUAAUCUCUUCUUGAAAGAAAAGUCUUGGGAAAGGAUAAAUGAAGGUGAACAAUGCCCAGCCUUGGGAGAGAGAUGGUUUCCCACAUCUGAGAUGACUCACGUCUUAACCUUUUUGCUCUAAUUUCUCUCUUUGCAUGUAUCCUGUGAUUUACUCUCUGGAUGAUGGCUCUACAGCAGAUUCCCAGCCAACGCACACAGACAUUAUCCAUUUCAGAAGAGACACGCACUCUGCUUGAGGAAAUGAUGUGUGAGAGACAUGGGAGAAAGAGCUUGACAGUUGGGCUGUAACAACAGCAGAGCUGGAAUCAUAGAGGGCCUUUCAAGAGGCUGGCCACUGCCUUGCAGCCCCCGUCGUGGGCAGAAGCUCAGAGCUGUUCAGAGAGUCACCGCACACUCGGAUGACGCAAGCACAGAGAGGUUUGGGCAAGAAGCAGAUGAGAAGCUUCCUUAGAAACGUUAAAAGGCGAGAUGGAGUUGGAAGGCAGACAGCAGUUGGGGUUUUCUUCUACGUGGUGCUACCGAAACCCUGCCUGAAGAUACAGAUUCUGGAAACUUCCCUGGGGUGGGGAUGAUCAAAUGACCAAUGACCAACCUGAUCCUGGGAGAACCUAGACUUGGCCACAACCUUCAGCAGAAAGCCCCAGUAAG
This 903-nucleotide long non-coding RNA is filed under the name Camelus dromedarius (Arabian camel). RNAcentral describes it as "lncRNA (ENSCDRG00005003488.1)". The record is from RNAcentral. Lineage: Eukaryota; Metazoa; Chordata; Mammalia; Artiodactyla; Camelidae.